CAUCCUCCAAGGCUAAAUACUCCUGACUGACCGAUAGUGAACCAGUACCGUGAGGGAAAGGCGAAAAGAACCCCGGCGAGGGGAGUGAAAAAGAACCUGAAACCGUGUACGUACAAGCAGUGGGAGCCCCACCACCAAAGCAUUUGCUGUACCGUGUUGACGGAGCGAAGCGACGUCAAACCGAUAAAACAGCAGUGUAAAGUGAGCCGCAGGGCGCUUUGCGCGACAGCGCAAAGGCAGGCGGUUUCGCGUAGCGAAAGCGAAUGCUUUGGGGUGGGGUGACUGCGUACCUUUUGUAUAAUGGGUCAGCGACUUAUAUUCUGUAGCAAGGUUAACCGAAUAGGGGAGCCGGAGGGAAACCGAGUCUUAACCGGGCGUUAAGUUGCAGGGUAUAGACCCGAAACCCGGUGAUCUAGCCAUGGGCAGGUUGAAGGUUGGGUAACACUAACUGGAGGACCGAACCGACUAAUGUUGAAAAAUUAGCGGAUGACCUGUGGCUGGGGGUGAAAGGCCAAUCAAACCGGGAGAUAGCUGGUUCUCCCCGAAAGCUAUUUAGGUAGCGCCUCGUGAAUUCAUCUCCGGGGGUAGAGCACUGUUUCGGCUAGGGGGCCAUCCCGGCUUACCAACCCGAUGCAAACUGCGAAUACCGGAGAAUGUUAUCACGGGAGACACACGGCGGGUGCUAACGUCCGUCGUGAAGAGGGAAACAACCCAGACCGCCAGCUAAGGUCCCAAAGUCAUGGUUAAGUGGGAAACGAUGUGGGAAGGCCCAGACAGCCAGGAUGUUGGCUUAGAAGCAGCCAUCAUUUAAAGAAAGCGUAAUAGCUCACUGGUCGAGUCGGCCUGCGCGGAAGAUGUAACGGGGCUAAACCAUGCACCGAAGCUGCGGCAGCGA
RNAcentral lists this ribosomal RNA (895 nucleotides) under Salmonella enterica subsp. enterica serovar Heidelberg. RNAcentral's name for it is "bacterial LSU rRNA". It matches the Rfam family "Bacterial large subunit ribosomal RNA", at positions 454 to 1211 of the family's 2925-position model. Lineage: Bacteria; Pseudomonadati; Pseudomonadota; Gammaproteobacteria; Enterobacterales; Enterobacteriaceae. The record is from RNAcentral.